This 210-nucleotide long non-coding RNA is filed under the name Elaeis guineensis (African oil palm). RNAcentral describes it as "long non-coding RNA (EGUI_LNC072526)". Lineage: Eukaryota; Viridiplantae; Streptophyta; Magnoliopsida; Arecales; Arecaceae. The record is from RNAcentral.
UCAUAAAUACUAACUCCAAAUCCGAUAGACAAUCAGGCAUCAGAGUCCAUCGAUAUAAAAUCCUGAUCAAAAAGUCCCAAACCAGUGGGACUCUUGACCCCGAUGCCCAAAAUGUGUGAAACUCAUGAUUAGAGAAUCCUGAUUCUUGAUCAUAGAGCUCUAGAUAUGUAGGACUCAAAGUUCACGAGCAUUAGGACUCUUCACCAGCCA